UACAGAGGGUGCGAGCGUUAAUCUGAAUUACUGGGCGUAAAGCGCGCGUAGGCGGCUUUGCAAGUCGGGUGUGAAAUCCCCAGGCUUAACCUGGGAACUGCAUUCGAGACUGCAUUGCUAGAGUAUGGGAGAGGGAAGUGGAAUUUCCGGUGUAGCGGUGAAAUGCGUAGAUAUCGGAAGGAACAUCAGUGGCGAAAGCGACUUCCUGGACCAAUACUGACGCUCAUGUGCGAAAGCGUGGGGAGCAAACAGG
This 253-nucleotide ribosomal RNA is filed under the name uncultured bacterium. RNAcentral's name for it is "partial 16S ribosomal RNA". It matches the Rfam family "Bacterial small subunit ribosomal RNA", at positions 524 to 776 of the family's 1533-position model. The record is from RNAcentral.